Molecule: ribosomal RNA, 465 nt
Filed under: uncultured bacterium
Lineage: Bacteria
Description: partial 16S ribosomal RNA
Rfam family: Bacterial small subunit ribosomal RNA
Source: RNAcentral
GACGAACGCUGGCGGCGUGCUUAACACAUGCAAGUCGAACGGAAAGGCCCUGCUUGCAGGGUACUCGAGUGGCGAACGGGUGAGUAACACGUGGGUGAUCUGCCCUGCACUUCGGGAUAAGCCUGGGAAACUGGGUCUAAUACCGGAUAGGAGCCAUUUUUAGUGUGAUGGUUGGAAAGUUUUUUCGGUGUAGGAUGAGCUCGCGGCCUAUCAGCUUGUUGGUGGGGUAAUGGCCUACCAAGGCGGCGACGGGUAGCCGGGCUGAGAGGGUGGACGGGCACAUUGGGACUGAGAUACGGCCCAGACUCCUACGGGAGGCAGCAGUGGGGAAUAUUGCACAAUGGGCGCAAGCCUGAUGCAGCGACGCCGCGUGGGGGGUGACGGCCUUCGGGUUGUAAACUCCUUUCGCUAGGGACGAAGCUUUUUGUGACGGUACCUAGAUAAGAAGCACCGGCUAACUACGUG